AUGGUACUUAGUUUAAAACAAA
RNAcentral lists this transfer RNA (22 nucleotides) under Hippotragus niger (sable antelope). RNAcentral's name for it is "partial tRNA-Arg". Lineage: Eukaryota; Metazoa; Chordata; Mammalia; Artiodactyla; Bovidae. The record is from RNAcentral.